This is a long non-coding RNA of Canis lupus familiaris (dog), 1764 nucleotides long. RefSeq lists it as uncharacterized. NCBI's taxonomy places the organism in Eukaryota, Metazoa, Chordata, Mammalia, Carnivora, Canidae. The transcript is spliced from 2 exons. The record is from RefSeq and is a predicted model, not a curated record.
GAAGCAGGAAAAUACCAGACGAGUUAAGCUGAAACAAAUCUCACCUUACCUGAAGAAAAAGACCCCUUACCGGAUGCAAAAUCUGCCCAACAGGCAGAAUGGAGAUUGGAGGACCCUGAGAUCAUGACCUGAGCUGAAAUCAAGAGUCAGAUGCUUAACUGACAGAGCCACCCAAAUACCCCUUUUGAGAUUUUAUUUUAAAGUGAUCUCUACACCCAACGUGGGGCUUGAACUUAUAACCUUGAGAUCUGACUGAGCCAGCCAGACACACUUAUAAAGGAUUUUUGAUUAUUAACUCUCUUUAAAAGAUAUUCAAGUGCUUAAACAAAAAUAAUAACAAUGUAUUAUUGGGCUUAUAAUAUGAAAAAGUAAAAUGUAUUAAAGCAAUAACUUAAAAUCAGGCAGGGCAGAAAUUGACGUAUAUGGUUUAUAAGUCUCUUAAAUUAUACAUGAAAUGGUAUAAUAUCGCUUGAAAGUAGACUGUAAUAAAUUAAAGAUGUAUACUGUAAAUCCUAAAGCAACCCAAAAUAACAGAGCAGAGUAACAACUGAUGAGCUAAAAAAAAAGAGAUAAAAUGGAAUCAUAAAAGAGAUUCAAUUAGCCCAAAAUACAGAAAAAGAGGGACAAGACAAGAAAGAACAGAUGUGAGCAAAAUGAUAGAUUAAACCCUAAUCAUAUCAACAAUCCCAUUAAAUGCAAAUGAUUUAAACACCCAAUUUCAAAGGCAGAGACUGUCAAAUUGGAUGAAAAGCAAAGCCCAGUUAUAAGUUGUUCACAAGAAACACACUUUAAAUUUAAGGCACAAAUAGAUUAAGUAUGCAAGUAUGGAAAAAGCUAUCCCGUGCUAAAAGGCCAGUCCAAGGAAAGCUGCAGUGUCUAUAUUAAUACCAAGGAUACCGAAGAAUAUUACCAGAAAUAGAGAAAGUCAUUUCUUCUUCCCAUUAUUUUAAAGGGGAUAAUUAGUCAAAAGGGCCCCCAACCUGUAAAUAUUUAUGACCUUAAUAACAGAGCUUCAGAAUAUAUGAACUGGAAAUGGAAAGAACUUCAAGAAGAAAUAGCAAAUCCACAAUUAUAGUGGAAAAUUUCCAUAGCCACUUCUCAAAGUUAGUGGAAGAAGUAGACAGAAAGUCAACAAAGAAAUUAUAGACAAACAGCACUAUCAAUCAUCAGGACCUGAUUAACACAGAACAUUCUGCUCUAUGACGGCAUAAUGUUUAAUAUUAUUAGCUAUUGAGGAAAUGAAAUUAGUACCACAAUGAGAUGUCACUGCACACCUAUUAGAAUGUCUCAGAUUAAGAAGAUUGACCCUACCAAGCUUUGGUGAGGAUGUGGAAAAAUGAAAUUCUGUAUACUAUGGGGGUGGGAAUAUAAAAUGAUACAGUUUUGGAAAAAACUUGGGCAGUUUUGUUCUCUUUAUUGUUAGUGACAUCCAGUGCUAUAUUAGUUUUGGUUGUACAGCACAAUUGUUUGACAAUUCUUCUAUACAUUACCCAACGGUCACCAUGGUGAGUAUAGUCAUCAUCUGUCAUCAUACAAUGUUUUUACAAUAUUAUUGACUAUACUCCCUGGGCUGUACUUUUCAUCUCCAUGACUUCUGUAUUUUUGUAACUGGAAAGUUGUACCUUUUAAUCCUCUCCACCGAUUUUGCCCGUCCCACCAACCCCUCUUCUCUGGUAACCAUCAUUUUAUUUUAUGAUCCUGUUUCUGUUUGUUCACUGAUUUUGUUUUUUUUUAGAUUCCACAUACAAGAGAAAUUGUAUGGUA